AGCUCGUUGGUGAAAUAGAAUCACAGUGGUCUGUCGAACCACAGUCAGGGGAGCAUAACCCCUACGGGCUGCCA
Molecule: transfer RNA, 74 nt
Filed under: Bacteroidetes bacterium ADurb.Bin041
Lineage: Bacteria; Pseudomonadati; Bacteroidota
Description: tRNA-Asp
Source: RNAcentral